Molecule: ribosomal RNA, 644 nt
Filed under: uncultured bacterium
Lineage: Bacteria
Description: bacterial SSU rRNA
Rfam family: Bacterial small subunit ribosomal RNA
Source: RNAcentral
GAGUUUGAUCCUGGCUCAGAACGAACGCUGGCGGCGUGGAUAAGACAUGCAAGUCGAGCGCUAAUUUGAAGGUAGCAAUAUUUUCAAGUUGGAGCGGCGCAAGGGUGCGUAACACGUGGGUAAUUUGCCAUGAAGUCUGGAAUAACUUGCUGAAAGGCGAGCUAAUGCCGGAUGUGAUUUUCGGGGAGCAUUUCCUGAAACUCAAAGUUGGGGACCGUAAGGCCUGACGCUUCUUGAUAAGCCCGCGGCCUAUCAGCUAGUUGGUGAGGUAAUGGCUCACCAAGGCUAAGACGGGUAGCUGGUCUGAGAGGACGACCAGCCACACUGGAACUGAGACACGGUCCAGACACCUACGGGUGGCAGCAGUCGAGAAUUUUUCACAAUGGGCGAAAGCCUGAUGGAGCGACGCCGCGUGGGGGAUGAAUGGCUUCGGCCCGUAAACCCCUGUCAUUUGCGAACAAACCUUUUCAUUUAACACCUGAAAAGCUGAUUGUAGCGGAAGAGGAAGGGACGGCUAACUCUGUGCCAGCAGCCGCGGUAAUACAGAGGUCCCAAGCGUUGUUCGGAUUCACUGGGGCGUAAAGGGUGCGUAGGUGGUGAGGUAAGUCGGAUGUGAAAUCUCCGGGCUUAACCCGGAAAUGGCA